This 497-nucleotide ribosomal RNA is filed under the name uncultured bacterium. Its description in RNAcentral is "partial 16S ribosomal RNA". It matches the Rfam family "Bacterial small subunit ribosomal RNA", at positions 28 to 507 of the family's 1533-position model. The record is from RNAcentral.
GAUGAACGCUGGCGGCGUGCCUAAUACAUGCAAGUCGAGCGAACGGACGAGGAGCUUGCUUUUCUGACGUUAGCGGCGGACGGGUGAGUAACACGUGGAUAACCUACCUAUAAGACUGGGAUAACUUCGGGAAACCGGAUCUAAUACCGGAUAAUAUUUUGAACCGCAUGGUUCAAUAGUGAAAGACGGUCUUUCUGUCACUUCUCGAUGGAUCCGCGCUGCAUUAGCUAGUUGGUAAGGUAACGGCUUACCAAGGCAACGAUGCAUAGCCGACCUGAGAGGGUGAUCGGCCACACUGGAACUGAGACACGGACCAGACUACUACGGGAGGCAGCAGUAGGGAAUCUGCCGCAAUGGGCGAAAGCCUGACGGAGCAACGCCGCGUGAGUGAUGAAGGUCUUCGGAUCGUAAAACUCUGUUAUUAGGGAAGAACAUAUGUGUAAGUAAAUGUGCACAUCUUGACGGUACCUAAUCAGAAAGCAACGGCUAACUACGUG